GAUGAAGAACGCAGCGAAAUGCGAAAAGUAAUGUGAAUUGCAGAAUUCAGUGAAUCAUCGAAUCUUUGAACGCACAUUGCGCCCGCUGGUACUCCGGCGGGCACGCCUGUCCGAGCGUCAUUUCAACCCUCAAGCCCUCCUUCGGGAUGGGCCUGGUGUGGGGGCUCGGCCGCCAUCUCCGGCGGCCGUCCCCUAAAUACAGUGGCGGUCACGUCGCGACUCCUUUGCGUAGUAGAAACACCUCGCUCCGGAUAGCAACGCGGUCCACGCCGUAAAAUCCCCAAUUUUCAAUGGUUGACCUCGGAUCAGGUGGGAAUACCCGCUGAACUUAAGCAUAUCAAUAAGCGGAGGA
RNAcentral lists this unclassified non-coding RNA (352 nucleotides) under soil metagenome. Its description in RNAcentral is "partial contains 5.8S ribosomal RNA, internal transcribed spacer 2, and large subunit ribosomal RNA". The stretch from base 1 to 120 matches the Rfam family "5.8S ribosomal RNA", at positions 35 to 154 of the family's 154-position model. The record is from RNAcentral.